AUUGAACGCUGGCGGCAUGCCUUACACAUGCAAGUCGAACGGCAGCACGGGUGCUUGCCCCUGGUGGCGAGUGGCGAACGGGUGAGUAAUACAUCGGCACAUGUCCUGUAGUGGGGGAUAGCCCGGCGAAAGCCGGAUUAAUACCGCAUACGAUCUACGGAUGAAAGCGGGGGCCCUUCGGGCCUCGCGCUAUCGGGUUGGCCGAUGGCUGAUUAGCUAGUUGGUGGGGUAAAGGCCCACCAAGGCGACGAUCAGUAGCUGGUCUGAGAGGACGACCAGCCACACUGGGACUGAGACACGGCCCAGACUCCUACGGGAGGCAGCAGUGGGGAAUUUUGGACAAUGGGCGAAAGCCUGAUCCAGCAAUGCCGCGUGUGUGAAGAAGGCCUUCGGGUUGUAAAGCACUUUUGUCCGGAAAGAAAUCCUUGGCCCUAAUACGGUCGGGGGAUGACGGUACCGGAAGAAUAAGCACCGGCUAACUACGUG
RNAcentral lists this ribosomal RNA (486 nucleotides) under uncultured bacterium. Its description in RNAcentral is "partial 16S ribosomal RNA". It matches the Rfam family "Bacterial small subunit ribosomal RNA", at positions 30 to 507 of the family's 1533-position model. The record is from RNAcentral.